AACGAACGCUGGCGGCAUGCCUAACACAUGCAAGUCGAACGAGACCUUCGGGUCUAGUGGCGCACGGGUGCGUAACGCGUGGGAACCUGCCCUUAGGUUCGGAAUAACUCCCCGAAAGGGGUGCUAAUACCGGAUAAUGUCUUCGGACCAAAGAUUUAUCGCCUUUGGAUGGGCCCGCGUUGGAUUAGCUAGUUGGUAGGGUAAAAGCCUACCAAGGCGACGAUCCAUAGCUGGUCUGAGAGGAUGAUCAGCCACACUGGGACUGAGACACGGCCCAGACUCCUGGGGGAGGGGGGAGUGGGGAAUAUAGAAAAAGGGCGUAAGUCCAGAACCACCAAGGCCGGGUGAGUGAUGAAGGCGUGAGGGUUGAAAAGCUCUUUUACCCGGGAUGAUAAUGACGGUACCGGAAGAAUAAGCCCCGGCUAACUCCGUG
Molecule: ribosomal RNA, 433 nt
Filed under: uncultured bacterium
Lineage: Bacteria
Description: partial 16S ribosomal RNA
Rfam family: Bacterial small subunit ribosomal RNA
Source: RNAcentral